Molecule: long non-coding RNA, 772 nt
Organism: Neopsephotus bourkii (Bourke's parrot)
Lineage: Eukaryota; Metazoa; Chordata; Aves; Psittaciformes; Psittacidae
Exons: 2
Source: RefSeq, a predicted model, not a curated record
UAUGGUCAUAGUGUCAGUAAGGCUGUAAAGAGAUCAGAUCUAAAUAAAUUAUACUCCCAAGCUAAGGAGGCUUGGUUUUCUGCAAAAAGACAAACCUCACAGGUAUUUCAAAGAAAACAGUAUGUAUAUAUAUUUUUAAUUUCAAGAAAAUAGAGUGGACAAUGGUUCUUUCCUGCUGCUAUUUGGACAGAUCACAGAAGAAUAUGAUUUUUUUUUUCCUCAUCUGGAGGCAAUGGAAAUCACAUCUUGCUAAACCUGUAUACUCUUUUAAUAUGGGGCCUUCAGGUGCUGUCUACUAUGUGCCCACCAUCAGCCUGGGAUUCUGCAACCAGCCUGCACAGUUCCUCUCCUUAUUUUAUCUUGUUACAGUGAAUGAUGAAAUAUAUAAUGAAUCAAAAUUGAUAUUAGGUCUACAAUAUGUUUACUUCAAAGGUAAUGCAUGAUUGCGUUCAUUAUCUACUUUUAAUGCUUCUUUUACAUUGCAGUUUAGGGUUUUGCAUAAGAAAAAAUUUACUUCUGAAACUUACAUUAAUCUUAAACAUUUGUGUGCAACUUGAAGAACUGGCAGCCACAUCUCUGCAGGUUUUGAUUAUUUCAUUGGUAGUGACAUCAAAGUGACAUCAAAGCACCACCACACAAUGGAAUUCUCUGUGAGUCAUGCACAACCAUGGAACAUCAUGAACCAUGAGUGAAGGGACUGAUGGAGAAACAGCCAGUUUCACUGCAGUCUACAUAAAUUAAAAUAAAUAAAUAAAUAAAAGACUUCUAAAUA